CCUACGGGUGGCAGCAGUGAGGAAUAUUGGUCAAUGGACGAGAGUCUGAACCAGCCAAGUAGCGUGAAGGAUGACUGCCCUAUGGGUUGUAAACUUCUUUUAUAUGGGAAUAAAACGUUCCACGUGUGGGAUUUUGUAUGUACCAUAUGAAUAAGGAUCGGCUAACUCCGUGCCAGCAGCCGCGGUAAUACGGAGGAUCCGAGCGUUAUCCGGAUUUAUUGGGUUUAAAGGGAGCGUAGGUGGAUUGUUAAGUCAGUUGUGAAAGUUUGCGGCUCAACCGUAAAAUUGCAGUUGAAACUGGCAGUCUUGAGUACAGUAGAGGUGGGCGGAAUUCGUGGUGUAGCGGUGAAAUGCUUAGAUAUCACGAAGAACUCCGAUUGCGAAGGCAGUUCACUGGACUGCAACUGACACUGAGGCUCGAAAGUGCGGGUAUCAAACAGGAUUAGAUACCCUAGUAGUC
Molecule: ribosomal RNA, 460 nt
Filed under: uncultured bacterium
Lineage: Bacteria
Description: partial 16S ribosomal RNA
Rfam family: Bacterial small subunit ribosomal RNA
Source: RNAcentral